AUACUUUUCUUCCAGGCAUUAAUUGAUUUCACAGAUCCGUAUGAAAAUUUCAUCACUGGUUUCAUGAUGAAUGAACAGGACUAGUGGGCAAACAUGUGGAAUCAAUCCAUCAAGAGAAGAGAUCCUUGUGUUGUGGCACACUUUGCAGUCUGUUUGUGCUCUCCAGAAAGGAAUGUGGGGUGGAAAUCCUGCAGAGAGCUGAGAAUACAACAUGGGCUGUGACACCUCAAUGGGAUAAAUGUUCAUUCACUGGCUGGGCAUUCCCCACUGAGUGAAUGGCAGGAGUGGCUACUCCAUUUACACAUCACUACAAAGGGGCAUCUUUCCAAAGAGGCAUCAUCCAAGCAGGAAGAAGCCCAAUUGAGAAUAACCCUAACCAACAAAUACUUCUCCAACUGACCGUACAUGGGGAGCUGUGGGCCAUCAGAANGUUAUAG
Molecule: long non-coding RNA, 437 nt
Filed under: Salvator merianae (Argentine black and white tegu)
Lineage: Eukaryota; Metazoa; Chordata; Lepidosauria; Squamata; Teiidae
Description: lncRNA (ENSSMRG00000005859.1)
Source: RNAcentral